GACGAACGCUGGCGGCGUGCUUAACACAUGCAAGUCGAACGGAAAGGCCCUGCUUUUGUUGGGUGCUCGAGUGGCGAACGGGUGUGUAACACGUGAGUAACCUGCCCUUGACUUUGGGAUAACUUCAGGAAACUGGGGCUAAUACCGGAUAGGAGCUCCUGCUGCAUGGUGGGGGUUGGAAAGUUUCGGCGGUUGGGGAUGGACUCGCGGCUUAUCAGCUUGUUGGUGGGGUAGUGGCUUACCAAGGCUUUGACGGGUAGCCGGCCUGAGAGGGUGACCGGCCACAUUGGGACUGAGAUACGGCCCAGACUCCUACGGGAGGCAGCAGUGGGGAAUAUUGCACAAUGGGCGGAAGCCUGAUGCAGCAACGCCGCGUGCGGGAUGACGGCCUUCGGGUUGUAAACCGCUUUCGCCUGUGACGAAGCGUGAGUGACGGUAAUGGGUAAAGAAGCACCGGCUAACUACGUG
This 468-nucleotide ribosomal RNA is filed under the name uncultured bacterium. Its description in RNAcentral is "partial 16S ribosomal RNA". It matches the Rfam family "Bacterial small subunit ribosomal RNA", at positions 28 to 507 of the family's 1533-position model. The record is from RNAcentral.